RNAcentral lists this ribosomal RNA (466 nucleotides) under uncultured bacterium. RNAcentral's name for it is "bacterial SSU rRNA". It matches the Rfam family "Bacterial small subunit ribosomal RNA", at positions 331 to 795 of the family's 1533-position model. The record is from RNAcentral.
CCAGACUCCUACGGGAGGCAGCAGUGAGGAAUAUUGGUCAAUGGCCGAGAGGCUGAACCAGCCAAGUCGCGUGAGGGAUGACGGCCCUACGGGUUGUAAACCUCUUUUGUCGGGGAGCAAAGAGAGUCACGUGUGGCUCAUUGAGAGUACCCGAAGAAAAAGCAUCGGCUAACUCCGUGCCAGCAGCCGCGGUAAUACGGAGGAUGUGAGCGUUAUCCGGAUUUAUUGGGUUUAAAGGGUGCGUAGGCGGGAGGCCAAGUCAGCGGUAAAAAUGCGGGGCUCAACGCCGGCGAGCCGUUGAAACUGGCGUUCUUGAGUGAGCGAGAAGUAUGCGGAAUGCGUGGUGUAGCGGUGAAAUGCAUAGAUAUCACGCAGAACUCCGAUUGCGAAGGCAGCGUACCGGCGCUCAACUGACGCUCAUGCACGAAAGUGUGGGUAUCGAACAGGAUUAGAUACCCCAGUAGCA